AAUAAAAUAAGAACUGGGUUCUAAGAACGGAAAAGAGAACAUAAUCAGAACCCAUUCUCAGCAACUUCAGUUCAACCACCAUCAACAAGUGCCACCACCGCCGCUCUCCAACGCCGUCCUCCGCCGUACCGUCAAAAAUCACUUAUUUCUUUCUGCAAGAGCAAGCGAGAGACCCAACUUUUUCAGGUUCCAAAUUCCAUUUCCUCAACCACGACUUGUCGCUCCAAAGAAGUGCCGCUCACUCACUCUCAAAUGUCUUCCUUGUUUUCAUGCGGCUUCAGGUUUUCUUCUACUUCUUCUUCUUCUUCUUCAUAUAUUCCAUCUUUUCUUUUUCCCUUCUUAAUUACAAGACUAUACUCUCAAUUUCAGUUUGUUCCUAGUAAUAUUGAUGUUGAUAAUGUUGUUUCUUCAUUCAAUCACUUGCUCCGUACGAAACCCACUUCAUCCAUCAUUGAAUUUAACAAGAUUUUAGGUUCCCUUGUUAAGUCUAACAACAACCAUUACCCAACUGCUAUUUCCCUUUCUCGUCGAUUGGAAUUUCAUGGGAUUACUCCUGAUAUUUUUACUUUCAAUAUUCUCAUUAAUUGUUACUGCCACAUGGCUGAAAUGAAUUUUGCCUUUUCUAUGAUGGCCAAGAUUCUUAAAAUGGGUUAUGAACCGGAUACCAUUACCUUUAAUACGCUUAUCAAAGGUUUGUGUCUUAAUGGUAAGGUCAAGGAAGCAUUGCACUUUCAUGACCAUGUGCUUGCACUUGGAUUUCACUUGGAUCAAUUUAGCUAUGGGACCUUGAUCAAUGGCUUGUGUAAAAUAGGGGAAACAAGAACAGCCUUGCAAAUGCUGAGAAAGAUUGAUGGGAAAUUGGUCAAGAUCAAUGUGGUAAUGUAUAACACAAUCAUUGAUAGUUUGUGUAAACAUAAAUUGGUAAUUGAUGCCUAUGAGUUAUAUUCUCAAAUGAUUGCAAAAAAAAUUUCUCCCGAUGUUGUCACUUUUAGUGCUCUAAUUUAUGGAUUUUGCAUUGUUGGUCAACUGGAAGAAGCAUUUGGUUUGUUUCGUGAAAUGGUAUUGAAAAACAUCAACCCUGAUUAUUAUACUUUUAAUAUAUUGGUUGAUGCUCUUUGUAAGGAAGGAAAUUUGAAAGGGGCUAAGAAUAUGUUAGUUGUGAUGAUGAAAGAAGGUGUGAUGCCAAAUGUUGUUACCUACAGUUCAUUAAUGGAUGGAUAUUGCCUAGUUAACCAAGUUAAUAAGGCCAAACAUGUAUUAAACACUAUUUCUCAAAUGGGAGCGGCUCCUAAUGCUCAUAGCUAUUGUACUAUGAUUAAUGGAUUUUGUAAGAUUAAAAUGGUUGAUGAAGCCUUGAGUCUCUUUAAUGAUAUGCAGUUCAAAGGAAUUGCUCCUGAUAAGGUAACUUAUAAUUCUCUCAUUGAUGGUUUGUGCAAAUCAGGGAGAAUCUCCUAUGCUUGGGAGCUUGUUGAUGAAAUGCAUGAUAAUGGUCAACCAGCCAAUAUAUUCACUUACAACUGUUUAAUAGAUGCUUUAUGUAAAAACCAUCAUGUUGACCAGGCUAUUGCAUUAGUUAAGAAAAUUAAAGAUCAAGGCAUUCAACCAGAUAUGUACACGUUCAAUAUACUUAUUUAUGGAUUAUGCAAAGUAGGACGACUUAAGAAUGCACAAGAUGUUUUCCAGGAUCUUUUGAGUAAGGGUUAUAGUGUAAAUGCUUGGACGUAUAAUAUUAUGGUCAAUGGACUUUGUAAAGAGGGCUUGUUUGAUGAAGCAGAGGCCUUGUUGUCAAAAAUGGAUGACAAUGGUAUCAUUCCUGAUGCUGUAACUUAUGAAACUCUCAUCCAGGCUCUCUUUCAUAAAGAUGAGAAUGAAAAGGCGGAGAAACUUCUGCGUGAAAUGAUUGCUAGAGGUCUCCUAUGAUGGAAACACUAGAUGUUGUGUAUGCUUUGGAGGGGCUAGAAAUGGUUUUGCAUUUGGAAUCUGAGGCUAAAGAUCAAGAGAAAUUUGGUGUGAUGCCACUUUCCAAAAUUGAGGUUGCAGUAAAGCGGUGUCUUGUUUUUGAUGAGGCGUGUUGCUGCUAUUGGUUUGAUGGAAGGAUGUUGUUUGCUAUUCUCCAGUGCUACUGAUAGUAUAUGUAGCUUGGUGUUUAUGUGAUUUUGGUUUAAAUUAGGUGGCUUCAGAGCUUUGUAAUACUAGAUAAGUAUGUAGAGUUUGAUGUACAUUUUAUCCACAAGAUAUUCAUAGAAAAUGUUGUGUUAUAAUGAUUAUGUAAACGUAAUCAAGUUUAGGGAUCUUUGAUUGACAUGUUACUCUUAGAGACAACAAGAUGCUCAUAGAUUGUAAUUACUCUUGGAGGUGUCAUUUGAUAUGCUAUUGCUAGUUAGUUCAUGUUAUAGCAUUUGGAAUUUUGUCUUGUAACAUAUAUUGGAAGAAAUCUAUGCUGUUCAUGGUUA
RNA transcript from Medicago truncatula (barrel medic), 2453 nucleotides. It is a transcript of the gene named pentatricopeptide repeat-containing protein At1g12300, mitochondrial, with no coding region annotated. The record is from RefSeq and is a predicted model, not a curated record. The transcript is spliced from 3 exons. NCBI's taxonomy places the organism in Eukaryota, Viridiplantae, Streptophyta, Magnoliopsida, Fabales, Fabaceae.